Molecule: unclassified non-coding RNA, 1385 nt
Filed under: Hevea brasiliensis (rubber tree)
Lineage: Eukaryota; Viridiplantae; Streptophyta; Magnoliopsida; Malpighiales; Euphorbiaceae
Source: RNAcentral
GCUCAGCUUAUUAAUAGUUAAUUAAUUAUUAAGCUAAAUUAAGCUCUGUUUCCAGACGGUUCUUCCGUCAAAUCGGGCUCAUUGUUGGGCAGGCAAGGGAAAGGGCUUUAAACAAGUGCUUUGAUUUGUGAAAUUGAAACCAUCAUCAUCAAUCAAUGGCCGUUUCUUUCUCUAACCACUCUCUCUUAACCCCUCCACCUCCGCGCCUCUUCGCUUCAUUCCCUGCAAAACCCUCCAAAACCCUAGAAACUAAAACUCUAUUGCCUCUCCAAUCUCUCCAUCAUAGACGUCGUCUUUCCAAUCCUAUCAUUGGAUUACCUCUCUCCAAUUCCUCUCCACUCACAAACUACUACUUCCAAUCGCGUUCCUUCAAAGCUUACCUUGCCGCCGAAGAUUCUGCACCUACUACAAAUGACAAAGAGGAGAAUCAUCAAAAUGAUGUAAAAGCAUCAGAAAAAGAAGCAGAUGGCCAACGUGUAUCCAGUUUGAAGAACCUUAUUAACAUUUAUAAAGCGGCUAUUCUUCUAGGAGAUGAGAGGACUGUAUUGGACGUUGAGGCUAGGAUAAUGAUUAUUGAAAAUGAGAAUACUCAAUUAAUCCAGAAAGUUUCAGCUUUAUCAGCGGAAAUAACCUCUGGCAAGGAGAAAAAUAUUCGCUUGCAAGCAGAUUUUGAUAAUUUUAGAAAAAGGUCAGAGAAGGAAAGGCUUACCAUUAGGAGUAAUGCCCAGGGAGAAGUGAUUGAGAGCCUUUUGCCCAUGGUGGACAGCUUUGAAAGAGCCAAACGACAAAUAAAACCAGAAACAGAAAAGGAAAAGAAGAUUGAUGCAAGUUACCAAGGUAUAUACAAGCAGCUUGUGGAGAUCAUGAGGAGCCUGCAGGUGGUUGCUGUAGCAACAGUUGGAAAGCCAUUUGAUCCCUCGCUGCAUGAGGCCAUUGCACGUGAAGAGUCACAAGAGUACAAGGAAGGCAUUGUAAUUCAAGAAUUCCAGCGUGGUUUUCUUCUUGGAAAUCGGCUUUUAAGACCAGCCAUGGUCAAAGUUUCUACUGGGCCUGGUAGGAAGAAAGCCUCUCUCAGCAAUGAGCAACCUGCAACAGCAGCUAGAGUGGAUGACAGAUAGUAUAGCUGCAAAUCCCAGUUUCUGAUGGGGAAUUCUAUUUUGAUCCACCAUUGUUUCUUAUCAGCUUGUGAAGCUUUUGUUUAAUUAUCUUAUUCCUUUUAUAUUUGGGUAAUUAAAAAAAAAUGUUAUCCUGUGCUGUCCGGGCUCUAGAAUCCAGUUUUCAUGUCUUACAAACAGAUAGAGACAUUUUUGUUUUAGGAAAACAAAGUCGCUCUGUUGAUACAAGUAUGAGAACACACGUUAACCAAUUGGAAAUGAUGAUUCAAU